CAGCAGCCGCGGGAAAACGGAGGGUGCAAGCGUUAAUCGGAAUUACUGGGCGUAAAGCGCACGCAGGCGGUCUGACAAGUCAGAUGUGAAAUCCCCGGGCUUAACCUGGGAACUGCAUUUGAAACUGUCAGGCUGGAGUCUUGUAGAGGGGGGUAGAAUUCCAGGUGUAGCGGUGAAAUGCGUAGAGAUCUGGAGGAAUACCGGUGGCGAAGGCGGCCCCCUGGACAAAGACUGACGCUCAGGUGCGAAAGCGUGGGGAGCAAACAGGAUUAGAUACCCCGGUAGUCCCUGUCUCUUAUAA
RNAcentral lists this ribosomal RNA (301 nucleotides) under uncultured bacterium. RNAcentral's name for it is "partial 16S ribosomal RNA". It matches the Rfam family "Bacterial small subunit ribosomal RNA", at positions 509 to 809 of the family's 1533-position model. The record is from RNAcentral.